Molecule: ribosomal RNA, 539 nt
Filed under: Trigonopterus idefix
Lineage: Eukaryota; Metazoa; Arthropoda; Insecta; Coleoptera; Curculionidae
Description: partial large subunit ribosomal RNA
Rfam family: Bacterial large subunit ribosomal RNA
Source: RNAcentral
GAAUAUGAUUUUAAGUCUGGCCUGCCCAAUGAUUAAUUUAAUGGCCGCGGUAUAUUGACCGUGCAAAGGUAGCAUAGUCAUUAGUUUUUUAAUUGGAAGCUUGUAUGAAAGGUUUAAUGAGAAAAAGGCUGUCUCUAAAUGAGUUUAUUAGAAUUUUAUUUUUAAGUGAAAAAGCUUAAAUAUUUAUGGAAGACGAGAAGACCCUGUAGAGUUUAAUAAAUAAUUGAUUAUUUAAGGUUAAGGGUCUAUAAUGAAUUGAAUUUGUAUUUAUUUAUUUUAUUGGGGUGAUAGGAAAAUUUGUUAAACUUUUCUUUAUUUUUAUACUAAUGUGUAGGUAUAUGAUCCUUGUUUGAAGAUUAAAAGAGUAAAUUACCUCAGGGAUAACAGCGUUAUUUUUUUUAGAGUUCUUAUCGAAAAAAUAGAUUGCGACCUCGAUGUUGGAUUAAAAUUUACUAUAGGUGUAGAAGCUUAUAAGUUGGGUCUGUUCGACCUUUAAAAUUUUACAUGAUCUGAGUUUAAACCGGUGUGAGCCAGGUCGG